This 881-nucleotide long non-coding RNA is filed under the name Homo sapiens (human). Its description in RNAcentral is "HSALNT0327142". The record is from RNAcentral. Lineage: Eukaryota; Metazoa; Chordata; Mammalia; Primates; Hominidae.
GACUUAUUAACACCAUUAUUUGUAAACUGCUAGCCUGGUUUCCUGUGCUGUUGUAACGCUAUCUUGAUGGGUUGCUGUGAAAAUGUGAAGAUGUCUGUCAGGCAGGAAAAAUUAUGUAAAAAUGAUGUGGGUAUAGAAAAUGGGAUCGACAAAAUGUAAUAAACUCCUCCUGGGCUGAACAGCAGAGCUGCAUAUGUAAUGAAGUACUUUAGGAUUACGUCACCUUUUAUAUAACAUCUGGCAGUGACUUUUAUUUCAGAGCUAAUUUGGAGAAGCCAGGCACUUUUCUCUUCCCCUCCCCAAGACUGCCUUUAUCUGAAAGACGAAAGAAGGAACUGUUACAUUUUGCAUGCAAAGAAAGCCAGAGUGGCUAGAUUACUCCCUUAGGGUAAUGGAGAAAGGAAAAAGAAAUUGAAAAAGGUCAGGUGAACAAAGCAGAAGGAAUGAAGAGGUUUGUGUGAUUCUUAGUGAAAUUGGACCAGUCUAAGCAACCAGACAGUGCAGUUCAGGAAACCAGGCUGAAGAAUGUGAAAUACAUCGCCCAAAGUCAGACACGGAGGAACAACUGCUUCGGAGCUAGCAAUUUCCUGAGCUGGAAUUGCACCACUGGCCUGUAGAAUCCAAACUGUUUUCUACCAGAACAACUCCUUCCCUGCAGGAAGCAGGGUGUGCACAGCUGAACCCUGGUCUGAGAAGGUUGAAGUCACUGACUCAGCCCCAGCAAGGAAGUUGCCCUUCGACUUCUGACCUCUGGCCCUGUUUGAAAACCAACUCAAAUCGUUUUUCUUUUUCAGAAGCUGCUUGCCUCCGCUUCACCUUCCACCAUGAUUGUAAGUUUCCUGAGGCCUCCCAGUCAUGCUUGCCGUUAAAACUGUGGAACU